Molecule: long non-coding RNA, 2638 nt
Filed under: Homo sapiens (human)
Lineage: Eukaryota; Metazoa; Chordata; Mammalia; Primates; Hominidae
Description: non-protein coding lnc-LRRC4C-7:1
Source: RNAcentral
UCCCUUGCACCAAAAACAGAAAGGAAGGCCUAUGAAAAUCAGACCAUGAAGUCUUAUUUUUCAUUCUUUGGUCUAGUAAUUUAAUUUCAUUUUCCAGAUUAUUAAUGCUGCAGUUUAUUAUAUAUUUGAUGCUGAAUUGCUGAAUUUGACUUGUCCAAAUGACAUCAAUCCUGCCUUUAUCUCAUUGCCAGAAGUAGUGAAUAUAUUGCUUUUUAUCCUGGUGAAAGGGAAGAUUCAAAGUUGUUUGAAGGAGAGGGGCUGAUCUGUGUGGUGGCAGUAGAACAUAUUCUGAUUGAUGUCCUCUAACCUUGCAAACUUGCCAGAGCAUCCACCUAGUUCAACCCUAGUUCAGUUAUCAUGGUGGAAACCCAUUAUGGGCACUCUUAGCAACUAUUGUGCCUAUAUAUUAAUAAGUCUACUGAAUAACAAUUAGUUCAUCCCCUUACUUCUUCAGCCCUUACUUCCACAUUGAAAGAAGUAAAAAGUAGAACUCACCAAUUGCUAUUUAAGCACAUUUGCUAGUUUUGUAAAGUCUAUAGACUUCUAAGAGGAAUAUAUGAAACCUCAAGUAAAUAUAUUAAAACAUGCACAAAAUAAAUAUAUUUAUGAUAUAUACUUUUUAUUGUAACUAUCAAAUUUUAAUCAAAAAAUUUGUAAUGCUAGGGAAAUCUCAGGUUUUACUAAUGGAAUUAUGAAAAAAUAUUAAUCUUAAUACAAUUUGUAAAAUGCCUUAAAAGUUAGAUGUUGAAAUGGACUUCCAGGUCCUGUAGCUACUUCUAUUGAAAUUAUCAUCAUAAUGUUUUACAAAAUGAGAAAAGUAAUACAGUUUCUCUUUCCAGUUGCCCUGAAGCAGACUAACUGAUGCUUGUAAAGAUGUUUCUCAGCAUAAAUGGAUUGUUAGAGAAUGAACUUCAGUUAAUUUUGACCUUAAAAAAAAGUCACGUAGAUAUGUAUUUUCAUCUGAAACAUUUUCAAGAGUCUUGCAAACAAGUCACUCUAAAAUAAUUUAUGACAAUGUUUAUGUGCUCAAUUACAUUUUGGUUUUUCAAUACAUAUUCUUACCUUAAGUGAAAGUAGAUUGUAUCCCUGGUUUUCAUUUUUCAGCACAUUUUCAAGUUUUCUAAGAGAAGUACAAAAUCAUAAUCUGUCACUACAUAACAUGUCACUACAUGUUCAACAUUUGUAAAACUCAAUUUAUUAUAAAUCCUGAGUUAUUAGUAACUGUUAUUUGAAAGCCAUUUUAGUAAUCAUAGAAAGCACUAAUAUUAAGGAGUAAAAAAUCAACAAUUAAUAUCAGAAAUAAACCAUGAGCUCUUAGAAACUAGUGGGAUACCAUUAGGCAUUCAUAAGAUAUAAUAAUUCAAAAGUAAAAAUUAUAUGCUUUGUAGCUCAAAAGUGCUUUCACCUAUUUUCUCAUUUGUGUAGCCUUGAAAUAGUGGUAGAUGAGUAUUUCAAAUUCAAGCAUCAGAUAUUUCAUAAAUACUGCAUAUGCCUGUGUGUGGAAUUAUUGAUGUUUUGAACCUAUAAACAGGAUAGAAAGGAAGAGAUGGUCAGGAAACAAUACUGGAGAAGAAAAAGAGGUAAAUGGUAAAAGCAGAAAAAAUGAUUAGAUUAUGUUUAUUUUAGAAUAGAUUCAUUUAGUGAAUAUGAAUUGAGGAACCUACUUAAUGCCAGGCACUAUUUGCAGCUCUGGAUGUACAGCAAUGAACAAAACUUUUAAGUCAUGCCCACAAGAUAAAGUGACCAACUCAUCUCAGUUUGCACAGAUGUUCCUGGUUUUAGUACUGAAAGCCCUGCAUUCCAGAAACCCCUUAGUCGAGGGCAAAUCAAGACGGUUGCUCACCAUUAUCAGAACCUCACUUUCUGGUAACUGUCAUCUUGAUUUCCAAAUUCAUAUUAAUAUUUUUAUCUCAUUGUUAAUGACAAUGCAAGUUAGCACUGACCACAAGUAACCAAUGGCUAGUAUACCUGUUUCUAACUGGGGCAAAGUUAUGACAAGAGCAAAUUAUAGUAAUAUCAAACUUCCUAGAAUUAUUUCUAGACAACACUCCUUGGAGUGCAACUGAAGUAUCAAAAGUACAACUUGCCCUCAAGGAAGAGUUAGUGUCUGGGAAUGUGAACGAACAAUCAUAACCACCAUUUGCAAGACACCUACGUAUAUCAUCUCUAGUUCUUACAAAGCCCUCUAAGGUAGUAUCAUCAUCUCCGUUGCAAGGAUAAAGACUUUGAGAGUAAACUCUCCCAUACACAAUAAUGAGAAAGAAAACCCAAGGUAAAAGAAGAGAAUUGGAGCUUUCAGAUGGCUAUAGCAAGUCUUGUAUAAGCAAUAGCAUUUAUUUUUCAGAACAGAAAACUAUUAAUGCUCUCAGUGUAUUUUACUUCUUGUGUUCUAUUGGAUUAUAUUUUCCUGGAAACUGGCUUCUCUUUGGGGUCACAUUUUGGUAAUCAAUGUUAGUCUUAUUCUUGUUCAGUCAAGUUUACUAAUGAAAUGGAUAGGACAGUACCUUUGAAGCACUGACUUGGUUAAUGUGGCAAUGUUUGAACUAUUUUUAUAUUGACUAUUAUUGAAUUUCGUAGAGGAACUUCAAAUUGAAGACGUUAUGGAUCAGCCAGCAUUCAAAGAUGAAAAUAAAUCAAU